Non-coding RNA from Pelobates cultripes (western spadefoot toad), 202 nucleotides. Lineage: Eukaryota; Metazoa; Chordata; Amphibia; Anura; Pelobatidae. The record is from the annotation of a GenBank genome assembly.
AGCUCCAUUUUUUUGAGGGCCCUUUACACAGCUCAAGGUCUGGGUCCCAGGGUCCACCUUCAUGUUCCACCAAUGAGUUUGUUCACAGGGAGUGGAGUGUGUGUGUGGGGGAGGUCCUGAUGUGUGUAAGGAAUGCAUUGUGUGAAUCUGUGUUUGUAUGUGUAAGGGCUGCAAGAUGAGUUUGUGUAUGUAUGGGAUGCAG